Long non-coding RNA from Oryctolagus cuniculus (rabbit), 1687 nucleotides. Lineage: Eukaryota; Metazoa; Chordata; Mammalia; Lagomorpha; Leporidae. The record is from Ensembl.
GCAUGAGAAUUUAUCUUUUCUAAAGUUCAAGGAAAAAUAUGCAAAAUGAUCUUCAGGUAUUACAUCUUAGUGGCAUAAAACAAGUUUUUGAAAUCAGGAAGACUGUUCAAAUGCUAAUUCUCUGUGUAAGCGGUAUGAUCUUAGUAAUGAUCUCAAUCAUUUAAGCUGAAAUUUUUUUGUACCAUAUAAAUUUUAUUUUUCAAAGGUUUUAUUUUUUCAUUUACUUGAAAGAUAGGGUGACAGAGAGAGAGGGAGAGAGAGAGAGAGAGAUGGAUGUUCCAUCUGUUGGUUUACUCUCCAAAUGUUCCCAACAGCUAGGGCUGAGCUAGGCCAAUGCCAGGAGCCUAGAACUCCAUCUGGGUUCCCAUAUGAGUGGGAGGGACCCAAGUACUUGGGCUAUCAUCUGCCUUCCCAGUCACAUUAACAGGUAGCUGGAUCUGAAGCAGAAUAUUCAAGACACCAAUUGGCAUUCCAAUAUGGGAUGCCAGCAUACCAAGAAGAGGCUUAACCCACUGUGCCACCGUGCCCUUCCCAAAGCCUGGUUUUCUUACUUGAAAAAGAAGAGAGUUAGAUCUGAGAAGUACUUGAAAAGCUCAUAUGAAAACAGAAUUAAAAGAGCUUCUGAAGUGGUCUCCUGCCUUAAUUCUUCCACAUCGCCUAGCCUAAUAGGAUCACCCCACUACAGCAGGUUGGUUUUUAGUCUUUAAAGCUUUCAAAUGUUGUUAUGCAAAGCAUAGUAUUAAAUGUACUGGCAGUAUUGGUAUCACCAAGAAACUCAUUAGAGAUGCAAAAUGGGAAGUUUCUCGUCGGGUGAUUUGCAGGUUUUUACAGUGUGAAAAGCUUUAAUCUGCUUCACAGUGUGCUAGUGAGAUAGCCAGGUAAGCAAAGUGGCUUGUGAUUGGGCAUCUGCUCCUCCACACCUUACUCCUCUUGUACUGCCAGCAACUCCCCACUACCCAGAGUUCUAGAAUAUAAUGUGUCCUUCCACCUCCUGGGACUUUCAUACAUACUGCAAUUUGCUUGGACAUCCCUCCUCUGUGACGUCUCCCCAGACUGAUCCAAAGAAGUUACUUCUUUUCCCCCAUGAAAUUCUUCUGUCAUCAGUGUCACAUUAUGUUGCCGUGGCUUUUUGUUGAUCUGCUUUCUUGGAUUGUGACCAUGUGGAAAGUAUAGCCUGUUUUUAUGUUUAAUCCUUGUAUCCUGUAUCUAGUGUACUCUAGGGAAUAGAAUUGAUUGAGUAGAAUAGGUACUCAAUCAAUAUUUGAUGAAUUGAGUUGAAUACUAAGGGUGUCAUUUGCUCAAGGACUCAAUGUUCAUAAAGAUCAAUGUCACUGCAUUUGGUUAUGUAACACAACCUAUGAUGUAACUCACAACCCCUAGAGUUGUGCAGUGUACGAGUGUACAUGACAACUUCAGUAAAAAUUGUUUGGCUCAUAGAUUAGUUAGAUGUUAGUGGUGAAAAGUGACAGAAACUAGCUAAGGCCGCCUUAUGCUAAAAAUGAGAAUUCAUUGAAAGAAUAAUGGGAUAUUUAGAGAACAUAACCAGAACUGAAAAUUGAAAGCCUUUCAUGACUUUUUCUCUAUUUCUCAUAGCUGUUUCCCUUUGUAGAUCAGUAUUAUUUUUAUUCUAGCUAUAGCUGGCUUCAUUUCUCAUUGUCACAUACAAACGUAUGGCUCUCCCAUUGCC